This 1052-nucleotide ribosomal RNA is filed under the name uncultured Methanosarcina sp. RNAcentral describes it as "bacterial SSU rRNA". It matches the Rfam family "Archaeal small subunit ribosomal RNA", at positions 1 to 1054 of the family's 1478-position model. Lineage: Archaea; Methanobacteriati; Methanobacteriota; Methanomicrobia; Methanosarcinales; Methanosarcinaceae. The record is from RNAcentral.
UCCGUUUGAUCCCGCCAGAGGUUACUGCUAUCGGUGUUCGACUAAGCCAUGCAAGUCAUAUGUUCUUCGUGAACAUGGCAUACUGCUCAGUAACACGUGGAUAACCUGCCCUUGGGUCUGGGAUAACCCCGGGAAACUGGGGAUAAUACCGGAUAACGCAUAUGUGCUGGAAUGCUUUAUGCGUAAAACGGAUUCGUCCGCCCAAGGAUGGGUCUGCGGCCUAUCAGGUAGUAGUGGGUGUAAUGUACCUACUAGCCAACAACGGGUACGGGUUGUGAGAGCAAGAGCCCGGAGAUGGAUUCUGAGACAUGAAUCCAGGCCCUACGGGGCGCAGCAGGCGCGAAAACUUUACAAUGCGGGAAACCGUGAUAAGGGAACACCGAGUGCCAGCAUCAUAUGCUGGCUGUCCAGAUGUGUAAAGUACAUCUGUUAGCAAGGGCCGGGCAAGACCGGUGCCAGCCGCCGCGGUAACACCGGCGGCCCGAGUGGUGACCGUUAUUAUUGGGUCUAAAGGGUCCGUAGCCGGUUUGGUCAGUCCUCCGGGAAAUCUGAUAGCUUAACUGUUAGGCUUUCGGGGGAUACUGCCAGGCUUGGAACCGGGAGAGGUAAGAGGUACUACAGGGGUAGGAGUGAAAUCUUGUAAUCCCUGUGAGACCACCUGUGGCGAAGGCGUCUUACCAGAACGGGUUCGACGGUGAGGGACGAAAGCUGGGGGCACGAACCGGAUUAGAUACCCGGGUAGUCCCAGCCGUAAACUAUGCUCGCUAGGUGUCAGGCAUGGCGCGACCGUGUCUGGUGCCGCAGGGAAGCCGUGAAGCGAGCCACCUGGGAAGUACGGCCGCAAGGCUGAAACUUAAAGGAAUUGGCGGGGGAGCACAACAACGGGUGGAGCCUGCGGUUUAAUUGGACUCAACGCCGGACAACUCACCGGGGACGACAGCAAAAUGUAGGCCAGGCUGAAGACCUUGCCUGAAUCGCUGAGAGGAGGUGCAUGGCCGUCGCCAGUUCGUACUGUGAAGCAUCCUGUUAAGUCAGGCAACGAGCGAGACCCA